RNAcentral lists this ribosomal RNA (424 nucleotides) under Verrucomicrobiota bacterium. Its description in RNAcentral is "Verrucomicrobia bacterium partial 16S ribosomal RNA". It matches the Rfam family "Bacterial small subunit ribosomal RNA", at positions 355 to 776 of the family's 1533-position model. Lineage: Bacteria; Pseudomonadati; Verrucomicrobiota. The record is from RNAcentral.
UGAGGAAUAUUGGUCAAUGGGCGAGAGCCUGAACCAGCCAAGUAGCGUGCAGGAUGACGGCCCUAUGGGUUGUAAACUGCUUUUAUAUGGGAAUAAAGUGAGGGACGUGUCCCUUAUUGCAUGUACCACAUGAAUAAGGACCGGCUAAUUCCGUGCCAGCAGCCGCGGUAAUACGGAAGGUCCAGGCGUUAUCCGGAUUUAUUGGGUUUAAAGGGAGCGUAGGCUGUUUGUUAAGCGUGUUGUGAAAUGUAAGAGCUCAACUUUUAGAUUGCAGCGCGAACUGGCAGACUUGAGUGCGCACAACGUAGGCGGAAUUCAUGGUGUAGCGGUGAAAUGCUUAGAUAUCAUGACGAACUCCGAUUGCGAAGGCAGCUUACGGGAGCGCAACUGACGCUAAAGCUCGAAGGUGCGGGUAUCGAACAGG